CCUACGGGGUGCAGCAGUGAGGAAUAUUGGUCAAUGGACGGAAGUCUGAACCAGCCAUGCCGCGUGCAGGAAGACGGCUCUAUGAGUUGUAAACUGCUUUUGUACCAGGGUAAACCUGAAUACGUGUAUUCAGCUGACAGUACUGUACGAAUAAGGAUAGGCGAACUCCGUGCCCGCAGCCGCGGUAAUAAGGAGGAUCCAAGCGUUAUCCGGAUUUAUUGGGUUUAAAGGGUGUGUAGGCGGAGUGAUAAGGUAGAGGUGAAAUGUCCGAGCUUAACUCGGGAACUGCCUUUAAAACUGUUGAUCUAGAGAGUAGAUGCGGUAGGCGGAAGGUAUGGUGUAGCGGUGAAAUGCUUAGAGAUCAUACAGAACACCGAUUGCGAAGGCAGCUUACCAAUCUAUAUCUGACGUUGAGGCACGAAAGCGUGGGGAGCAAACAGGAUUAGAUACCCCUGUAGUC
This 460-nucleotide ribosomal RNA is filed under the name uncultured bacterium. RNAcentral describes it as "partial 16S ribosomal RNA". It matches the Rfam family "Bacterial small subunit ribosomal RNA", at positions 338 to 795 of the family's 1533-position model. The record is from RNAcentral.